UAAGGAAUAUUGGUCAAUGGACGCAAGUUUGAACCAGCCAUGCCGCGUGGAGGAUGAAGGUCCUCUGGAUUGUAAACUUCUUUUAUCUGGGACGAAAAAAGGGAAUUCUUUCUCGUCUGACGGUACCAGAUGAAUAAGCACCGGCUAACUCCGUGCCAGCAGCCGCGGUAAUACGGAGGGUGCAAGCGUUAUCCGGAUUCACUGGGUUUAAAGGGUGCGUAGGCGGGUAUGUAAGUCCGUGGUGAAAUCUCCGAGCUUAACUCGGAAACUGCCAUGGGUACUGCGUAUCUUGAAUGUUGUGGAGGUGAGCGGAAUAUGUCAUGUAGCGGUGAAAUGCUUAGAUAUGACAUAGAACACCAAUUGCGAAGGCAGCUCACUACACAAAUAUUGACGCUGAGGCACGAAAGCGUGGGGAUCAAACAGGAUUAGAUACCCUGGUAGUCCACGCCCUAAACGAUGAUUACUCGACAUACGUGAUAC
RNAcentral lists this ribosomal RNA (480 nucleotides) under uncultured bacterium. RNAcentral describes it as "bacterial SSU rRNA". It matches the Rfam family "Bacterial small subunit ribosomal RNA", at positions 355 to 832 of the family's 1533-position model. The record is from RNAcentral.